RNAcentral lists this ribosomal RNA (421 nucleotides) under uncultured bacterium. RNAcentral describes it as "bacterial SSU rRNA". It matches the Rfam family "Bacterial small subunit ribosomal RNA", at positions 917 to 1333 of the family's 1533-position model. The record is from RNAcentral.
GGGCUCACACAAGCGGUGGAGGAUGUGGCUUAAUUCGAGGCUACGCGAAGAACCUUAUCCUAGAUUUGACAUGCUUGAGAGUCUCUAUGAAAGUAGAGAGUGCCCUUCGGGGAGCUCUUGCACAGGUGCUGCAUGGCUGUCGUCAGCUCGUGUCGUGAGAUGUCGGGUUAAGUCCCUUAACGAGCGAAACCCUUAUCUCUAGUUGCCAGCGGGUAAUGCCGGGGACUCUAGAGAGACUGCCGGUGUCAAACCGGAGGAAGGUGGGGAUGACGUCAAGUCCUCAUGGCCUUUAUGUCUAGGGCUGCACACGUCCUACAAUGGUACGGACAAACGGACGCAAUACCGCGAGGUGGAGCAAAUCCUAGAAACCGUACCUCAGUUCGGAUUGCAGGCUGCAACUCGCCUGCAUGAAGCCGGAAUC